GGAAUCUUCCACAAUGGACGAAAGUCUGAUGGAGCAACGCCGCGUGAGUGAAGAAGGUUUUCGGAUCGUAAAACUCUGUUGUUGGAGAAGAACACGUUUGAGAGUAACUGUUCAGACGUUGACGGUAUCCAACCAGAAAGCCACGGCUAACUACGUGCCAGCAGCCGCGGUAAUACGGAGGAUGCGAGCGUUAUCCGGAUUUAUUGGGUUUAAAGGGUGCGUAGGCGGGUUCUUAAGCGUGAGGUGAAAUGCCACGGCUCAACCGUGGAACUGCCUCGCGAACUGGGAGUCUGGAAUGCCCCUGCCGUGGGAGGAAUGUGUGGUGUAGCGGUGAAAUGCAUAGAGAUCACACAGAACACCGAUUGCGAAGGCAUCUCACGAAGGGGUGAUUGACGCUGAGGCACGAAAGCGUGGGGAUCAAACA
This 424-nucleotide ribosomal RNA is filed under the name uncultured bacterium. Its description in RNAcentral is "bacterial SSU rRNA". It matches the Rfam family "Bacterial small subunit ribosomal RNA", at positions 358 to 774 of the family's 1533-position model. The record is from RNAcentral.